UACGUAGGGUGCGAGCGUUGUCCGGAAUUAUUGGGCGUAAAGAGCUUGUAGGCGGUUUGUCGCGUCUGCCGUGAAAUUUCGAGGCUCAACCUCGAACUUGCGGUGGGUACGGGCAGACUAGAGUGUGGUAGGGGAGACUGGAAUUCCUGGUGUAGCGGUGAAAUGCGCAGAUAUCAGGAGGAACACCGGUGGCGAAGGCGGGUCUCUGGGCCGAUAUUGACGCUGAGGAGCGAAAGCGUGGGGAGCAAACAGG
This 253-nucleotide ribosomal RNA is filed under the name uncultured bacterium. Its description in RNAcentral is "partial 16S ribosomal RNA". It matches the Rfam family "Bacterial small subunit ribosomal RNA", at positions 524 to 776 of the family's 1533-position model. The record is from RNAcentral.